Anolis sagrei ordinatus is the source of this 208-nucleotide non-coding RNA. The record is from RefSeq and is a predicted model, not a curated record. NCBI's taxonomy places the organism in Eukaryota, Metazoa, Chordata, Lepidosauria, Squamata, Anolidae.
CACAAAAUUGCUGGUUUCUGAAAGACAAGAAGAAGCAUCUCUGGACCCAGAUGGAAGAGAUGGAACAUCAGACUGAAAAGAAGAGAAAUGACCAGGAACUUUCCUCUUUAGAAAAUCUUAUCCUGAAGAUGCAAGAUGAACUCCUGCAGGCUGCAAAGAGCCUUUCGCAGAGGAGUGAGAAGAAGGAAACAUUUAAGAAGUCAGUGGC